AGGGGCAGCAUGAUUUGUAGCAAUACAGAUUGAUGGCGACCGGCGCACGGGUGAGUAACGCGUAUGCAACUUACCUAUCAGAGGGGGAUAGCCCGGCGAAAGUCGGAUUAAUACCCCAUAAAACAGGGGUCCCGCAUGGGAAUAUUUGUUAAAGAUUCAUCGCUGAUAGAUAGGCAUGCGUUCCAUUAGGCAGUUGGCGGGGUAACGGCCCACCAAACCGACGAUGGAUAGGGGUUCUGAGAGGAAGGUCCCCCACAUUGGUACUGAGACACGGACCAAACUCCUACGGGAGGCAGCAGUGAGGAAUAUUGGUCAAUGGCCGAGAGGCUGAACCAGCCAAGUCGCGUGAAGGAAGAAGGAUCUAUGGUUUGUAAACUUCUUUUAUAGGGGAAUAAAGUGGAGGACGUGUCCUUUUUUGUAUGUACCCUAUGAAUAAGCAUCGGCU
Molecule: ribosomal RNA, 445 nt
Filed under: Parabacteroides merdae
Lineage: Bacteria; Pseudomonadati; Bacteroidota; Bacteroidia; Bacteroidales; Tannerellaceae
Description: bacterial SSU rRNA
Rfam family: Bacterial small subunit ribosomal RNA
Source: RNAcentral